UGGGGAAUUUUGGACAAUGGGGGAAACCCUGAUCCAGCCAUCCCGCGUGUGCGAUGAAGGCCUUCGGGUUGUAAAGCACUUUUGGCAGGAAAGAAACGUCAUGGGUUAAUACCCCGUGAAACUGACGGUACCUGCAGAAUAAGCACCGGCUAACUACGUGCCAGCAGCCGCGGUAAUACGUAGGGAGCAAGCGUUAAUCGGAAUUACUGGGCGUAAAGCGUGCGCAGGCGGUUCGGAAAGAAAGAUGUGAAAUCCCAGGGCUCAACUUGGGAACUGCAUUUUUAACUACCGGGCUAGAGUGUGUCAGAGGGAGGUGGAAUUCCGCGUGUAGCAGUGAAAUGCGUAGAUAUGCGGAGGAACACCGAUGGCGAAGGCAGCCUCCUGGGAUAACACUGACGCUCAUGCACGAAGGCGUGGGGAGCAAACAGG
This 429-nucleotide ribosomal RNA is filed under the name Acidobacteriota bacterium. RNAcentral describes it as "Acidobacteria bacterium partial 16S ribosomal RNA". It matches the Rfam family "Bacterial small subunit ribosomal RNA", at positions 355 to 776 of the family's 1533-position model. Lineage: Bacteria; Pseudomonadati; Acidobacteriota. The record is from RNAcentral.